GUGUGUGUGUGUGUGUGUGAAUGAACGUGUGUGCGUGCAUGCACGUGCGGGAUAAGGCUGCGUGGGUGGACAUAGUGGGUGAUGAUAGGCUGCUGCACUGUUUGGGAGCUGCUGUUGUCAGAUAAUGAGAGAACCUGUGAAUG
This is a long non-coding RNA of Thalassophryne amazonica, 143 nucleotides long. RefSeq lists it as uncharacterized. The transcript is spliced from 3 exons. The record is from RefSeq and is a predicted model, not a curated record. Lineage: Eukaryota; Metazoa; Chordata; Actinopteri; Batrachoidiformes; Batrachoididae.